RNAcentral lists this long non-coding RNA (317 nucleotides) under Erythranthe guttata (spotted monkey flower). RNAcentral describes it as "long non-coding RNA (EGUT_LNC002216)". The record is from RNAcentral. Lineage: Eukaryota; Viridiplantae; Streptophyta; Magnoliopsida; Lamiales; Phrymaceae.
ACUUACACUGGAAACCCUUCGACGGUAUCUUCUUCAAACACCUCGGGGGCACCAUUGUCGACUUGGUUGUGAGCGAAUUGCGAGCACCCCUCUUUUAACUCUUUCACCAAUAAUGCGAAAGGCAAAAGGAAAAGGAGUGCAGAAAAAGAUACGGGUUCAAAUUAAAUAAUGAAUAGUACGUCUGUCGACGUGUCUUAGUUUGUUCAAGGGUAAUAUUGACAUUUCAUUAUAAAACAAUAUCACCCGUAUUUUGACCCGGAUCCAAAUCCUACUGUUCUUCGUACACUAUUUGUUUGGAUAAAAUUGGCCCAAUGGCA